GACGAACGCUGGCGGCGUGCUUAACACAUGCAAGUCGAACGGUAAGGCCCUUCGGGGUACACGAGUGGCGAACGGGUGAGUAACACGUGGGUGAUCUGCCCUGCACUUCGGGCUAAGCCUGGGAAACUGGGUCUAAUACCGGAUAGGACCACUGCCUGCAUGGGUGGUGGUGGAAAGCUUUUGCGGUGUGGGAUGGGCCCGCGGCCUAUCAGCUUGGUGGUGGGGUGAUGGCCUACCAAGGCGACGACGGGUAGCCGGCCUGAGAGGGUGACCGGCCACACUGGGACUGAGAUGCGGCCCAGACUCCUACGGGAGGCAGCAGUGGGGAAUAUUGCACAAUGGGCGCAAGCCUGAUGCAGCGACGCCGCGUGAGGGAUGACGGCCUUCGGGUUGUAAACCUCUUUCAGCACCGACGAAGCGCAAGUGACGGUAGGUGCAGAAGAAGGACCGGCCAACUACGUGCCAGCAGCCGCCGUAA
Molecule: ribosomal RNA, 478 nt
Filed under: uncultured bacterium
Lineage: Bacteria
Description: partial 16S ribosomal RNA
Rfam family: Bacterial small subunit ribosomal RNA
Source: RNAcentral